Long non-coding RNA from Arachis duranensis, 728 nucleotides. RefSeq lists it as uncharacterized. The record is from RefSeq and is a predicted model, not a curated record. Lineage: Eukaryota; Viridiplantae; Streptophyta; Magnoliopsida; Fabales; Fabaceae. The transcript is spliced from 4 exons.
GCAAUUGCCACCGAAGAAGAAAUUUAUUGGAAAGAGGGGAGAGGAAAAAAAUGGAAGAAGAAAAGUAGAGAGGGAGACACGAAACAGAGUAACCGUCUGCUAUUCCCCGUGGUCACCGCCGGAGAGAAAACCCUAAAGAGAAGCUCGGGGAAUGCUUUUUCUCCGUGCCAUCUCCGCUGUCGUCUUCAUCUGGGUUCUCUAUGUUGGAAAAGAUUUGAGGAUGGCCCCUAUGGUGCAUAAGAUGUCAUUGGUGGAUAGAAUGCUCUUAGUAGCGGAUGAUUUAUUUCAUAAAAAUCCAUACAUUCACGCUGCAUGGCAUCUUGCAGCCACAAUUAGUGUCAGUACCUGCAACAAGCUCCUUGAUCUACUUGAAUUUGAAUUUGAAGGUGGUGGUUUUGAAGAAAUGAAGGGAAAAUGAGGAGCAAGCUGCUGUCUCUUAUUACAGUUCUUUGGGGACUUGUUUUUGCAUUGGAACACACAGUUAUACUACAUUUAAGGAUAUCUUGGGUAAGGUAAAUUUAUAAUCAGUAAUAUGAGUAAACAUUUUGCAUUUAUAGAGGCCAUGGCUAGCCUCUAUUGGUUUUUUGGCAUUCGGAAGUGAUAAAUUUCAGCAUUUAUUUUAGGAUGAAAAUGAAAAUUGACAAUGCUAAUCUUAUCUUAGUCAGGUAGAUAGUUUCAAGCUUUAUAUUUUUUCUUUUGGUCUGUCUUUUUAAUGUACUGUAAAUUUU